GACGAACGCUGGCGGCGUGCUUAACACAUGCAAGUCGAACGGGUCUGCCCUGUUUUUUGCGGGGUGGGUCAGUGGCGAACGGGUGAGUAACACGUGAGUAACCUGCCCCUCACUUCUGGAUAACCGCUUGAAAGGGUGGCUAAUACGGGGUGUUCUGGCUGUGCCGCAUGGUGUGGCUGGGAAAGAUUCACUUUUGUGGUGUUUUGGUGGGGGAUGGGCUCGCGGCCUAUCAGCUUGUUGGUGGGGUGAUGGCCUGCCAAGGCUUUGACGGGUAGCCGGCCUGAGAGGGUGGGCGGUCACACUGGGACUGAGAUACGGCCCAGACUCCGGCGGGAGGCAGCAGUGGGGGGUAUUGCACAAUGGGCGGAAGCCUGAUGCAGCGACGUCGCGUGAGGGAUGGAGGCCUGCGGGUUGUGAACCUCUUUCGCCGGUGAAGAAGGUCCUGCUCUUUGUGGUGGGGUUGACGGUAGCCGGGUUAUGAAGCGCCGGCUAACUACGUG
RNAcentral lists this ribosomal RNA (500 nucleotides) under uncultured bacterium. RNAcentral's name for it is "partial 16S ribosomal RNA". It matches the Rfam family "Bacterial small subunit ribosomal RNA", at positions 28 to 507 of the family's 1533-position model. The record is from RNAcentral.